Molecule: long non-coding RNA, 624 nt
Filed under: Citrus sinensis (sweet orange)
Lineage: Eukaryota; Viridiplantae; Streptophyta; Magnoliopsida; Sapindales; Rutaceae
Description: long non-coding RNA (CSIN_LNC002867)
Source: RNAcentral
GAAGAUCAAGAUCGCCAUGAGUGUGUUACAUGGGCCAUGACAGCUGGUAUUUGGAACUACAGAUGAUGAUUGAUGACGAAAGAAGAAUAGGAAGCCAUAAUAAGCCGAAAAAAUAAAAUAUAAUAAAUAAAAGAAAAGAGUACAAAAUGGAUAGCCAAUGAAAUAGAAGAGGAAGAGAUACCCGUUACCCAUGAGCUAUGAUUAUUGAAAACAAAAGCCAAUGAUCUCCACUGAUGUAGCAUUCAGAAGGAAGAUGAUGAGAUUCCUUUUGCCGGCCGCACCACGCUUCGGAGAUAUAACAUAAUUAAUCAGAAGACAAAAUAAUAAUGAUCAAUUUAAAUAUUAAUUGUUAUCCUGCGAUAAUAUAAAAAAGCCAUAAAGAUUGAGCGGUUUUAAGGUUUUGUAACCCCACCACCAUGCGCGAUCCUUCUGCUUUAUUAUUUGUGAUCUGAUAAAGAAAAAGGUUAGCUAGUGGGCAGCAGCAACCUAGAAGAAGAUUAAAGUAAAUAUUGAUGAUAUGCGACUGCCACCGAAACCGGGAAAGCGAUUUGCACCCGUUAUUAAUUUUGAGACACAGAGAAUAGAGCAUCUGCAUUGAAAGCAUCAUGGAUCCCACAGGCAUAC